Molecule: long non-coding RNA, 237 nt
Filed under: Sorghum bicolor (sorghum)
Lineage: Eukaryota; Viridiplantae; Streptophyta; Magnoliopsida; Poales; Poaceae
Description: long non-coding RNA (SBIC_LNC005876)
Source: RNAcentral
AAAUGGGCCAAUUCCACAGGCGGGUAACCAAUGUGAACCGCCUGUAGAAAUAUUUUUAUAGAAAAUACAAAAUCGACUUUUAAAAAUAGAAAAAAAAAGAUUUUAAUUACAAGGAAGGCCCACUGGCAAGUCACGCAUCUUUUCGCGUAAAAUCACGUGCUACGCGGCUAGUGGGAUUCGAACCUAAGACCUCGCCCUCGCACAUAACCUCCUCUGCCACUCCACCUAUCACUCAGA